UUUCCGUAGGUGAACCUGCGGAAGGAUCAUUACCGAAUUGUCAACACGAGUUGUUGCUGGUCCUCAAACGGGGACAUGUGCACGCUCUGUUUGCACAUCCAUUCACACCUGUGCACCCUCUGUAGUUCUGCAGCCUGGGGGCUCUGGCCCCCUGCCGUGGUUCUAUGUAUUUACACACACACGCUGUAACAAAGUCUCAUGGAAUGUAUACCGCGCUUAACGCAAUACAAUACAACUUUCAGCAACGGAUCUCUUGGCUCUC
This 262-nucleotide unclassified non-coding RNA is filed under the name plant metagenome. RNAcentral describes it as "partial contains small subunit ribosomal RNA, internal transcribed spacer 1, and 5.8S ribosomal RNA". The record is from RNAcentral.